This 2996-nucleotide long non-coding RNA is filed under the name Brassica napus (rape). RNAcentral describes it as "long non-coding RNA (BNAP_LNC000610)". The record is from RNAcentral. Lineage: Eukaryota; Viridiplantae; Streptophyta; Magnoliopsida; Brassicales; Brassicaceae.
CUGAGUUUGAAGUACAGAGACAUACAAGAAAUAUAUUUGUGAUAUGAAUCUAAGAAACAACAACAAAAAACAGAGUGAAAAAAUGCCAAUCAGACCUUCAUCUCUUCGACCAAUUACGGAAGCAUCCAAACUGAAGGGAGAGGAAGCAAGAGACAUCUUGCAACCGUUGAGGGGCUAAAGACUGCAGUAAAAGCUGGAGCACGAGCCUGGUAGAUUGCAGGAUUCCCAAUGAACGCCUCACAAAAGAUAGUAGAAGCCCACACAAACCUCACAACCGGAAAGGCAUCAUCCGCAUCGGUACAUAAGCUGAGUCCGAUCAAAAACUGGCGCAUUUAUUGGGGAAGAGACCAACAAACACGCUGCCACUGUUCUAAAGCUGUCCUAGAAAGACAGAACCACUGAUGAGAUGCGGAUGGAAUCUCGAGGUCCACCACGUGCUGCCACAGAAGACUCCAAGCUCAGUCGACUACUCCGAGAAAGAAGCUCCUCACACGUACCUGCUACUGAGAACCAGUAGCUGAAUCCUAAGAGAACAACAACAACUUGGCUACCCAACCACCACACCUCCACGAUAGCCAAUAACCGAGAUACUAAUCCCGUGCAGAGAGCACAGACCGCGCCAGAGCCACCACAAGUGACGGAACAGCAACAGAUCGAAGGAAAACAUACCCAUCGAACACCACACGCCGUCACACUCAGCUGAAACCCUAGAUCCAUCCAAAAUCUGAGACCCACUCUGGUGACUGAAGCAAGCGAGGGAUAAGGAAGACGCAGACCCUCAUGCCUCUCUCACCUCCGCCCUGGUACCGCCGAACAACCAGAAGAAACUUCAGUGACGAAUCAGAAGCUACAAACUCCCACAAAGCCGACCCCCACCACCAGACUCAAGCCUAACCCGACGCCGUAACACCAGAUCUGUCAUCCGUAACCCAACUAUAUCUAGUUUUGUUUUCAACCUCUAGCUUGUAUAUUAGAUGUAAGAAUAUAUCACUUACUUUAGUUGGCUAGACAUCAGCACGAAAAUAUUAUUUUGUAAAUUCUUUUAUUUUAGAUGGGAAUAGUCAAAAAUAGGUUAAAUUAAUUUAAAUAUAUAGUUGACCUAAAAAGGUAAAGGAAAAAAAUAAUUUACCGAAAAACGGUGGACUUCACCACCAUUCAAACUCUCAUAUAAAUAUAAUUUCUUUUUUUAAACUUAUAUAAUUCUAAUUUCCAUUUGCCUAUUCAUUGGUUGCACAAAUGAGUGUAAAGUACAUACUCAUUUAUGUAUACAUAUAUCCCUGUGUCACUAUUGAAAAGUUUUAUUGUACUCAAGUGCUUACCUCAUCUCGUACAGAGCUUGUCCCUGUUUCUGCUAUGGCAUCUUACCGUGUCGGAAAUAUUACAAUCUAAUCUAUUAAAAUAGAGUCCUAUUUUUUAUCUACCAUUGAAAGUUGUCAUUAACUUUUGGGCUUUUUCUAGAGUGUUACAAAAUAAUAUUACAUACACGCUACUUAAUAAUUCAACCAAAAUAUUUUUAAAUCAGACCAACACUGGGUUAUAGAACAAAACCGCUGUUGUAAGUCUUAAAUUAAAUUAUCAAUAAACCAUUGGCUGUCUAAUAUAUUAAAAUAAAUAUACAAUACAAAACUCUUAUCUAUAGAUUACAUCUUACGUACCUAAGUGAAGCAAACCUGGUCGUCUAGACUAUCCUGCUGUCGAAGAAAAGUCUGUACGUAAGAUGUAACAUAACAAAUUCUUCUGUGUUUACUUCUGUUCAGAUCAUUAACUGCAACAUAACAAAUUCAAAUUAAUUCAUAUAUUGUUUAUAUUAAUCUUACUAAACAGUCAAACAUUUGAUACACUUUUUCAUGAUAUCUAUCGUACAUUUGUAUCUGUAAUAUGGCAUAUGAUCUAAAAUCACUUUCUUAUAUUAUAAACACGAUCUGAAAUCACUUUCUUAUAUUAUACACUUUCAGAAACCUGCAAUUAUGAACACAAUAUUGUCCUCCCAUUAUGAACACAAUAUUAUCAAGCAUAUAAGCUUUUAUAAUAUGGAGAUUAGAAACGUUUCACCAUUAUAGAUUAGAUAAGUUUUGUCUUUUGAUUAUCAUACCUAAACGUAGAAAUCAUACACGUAUAUGUAGAGAUAUUAAUAUGUUCAUUUAUAUAUUAGCUUUUAAAUAAAUAGUUGUAUAUGUAUAUGUAUAUCUAAUUAUAUCUAUUUAGAAAACUCUUAAGUUUGAAUGAAUUUCUAUAAUGCCAAAAAAAAAACUUAACUCGGUUACUAUAUUUUCCUUAUUCUCUUAUAUUUGAAAACUGAAUAUAUUGUUAUACGAUUUUCUUCCUUACCAACAAGUUCCCUUUUGUUUUUUGAUCAAACCAACAAGCUCCCUAUUAAUCACAGCUUCCCAUCUACAUUCAUUAGAUUUCAUAUCUUCUAAAGCUGUCCUAGAAAGACAGAACCACUGAUGAGAUGCGGAUGGAAUCUCGAGGUCCACCACGUGCUGCCACAGAAGACUCCAAGCUCAGUCGACUACUCCGAGAAAGAAGCUCCUCACACGUACCUGCUACUGAGAACCAGUAGCUGAAUCCUAAGAGAACAACAACAACUUGGCUACCCAACCACCACACCUCCACGAUAGCCAAUAACCGAGAUACUAAUCCCGUGCAGAGAGCACAGACCGCGCCAGAGCCACCACAAGUGACGGAACAGCAACAGAUCGAAGGAAAACAUACCCAUCGAACACCACACGCCGUCACACUCAGCUGAAACCCUAGAUCCAUCCAAAAUCUGAGACCCACUCUGGUGACUGAAGCAAGCGAGGGAUAAGGAAGACGCAGACCCUCAUGCCUCUCUCACCUCCGCCCUGGUACCGCCGAACAACCAGAAGAAACUUCAGUGACGAAUCAGAAGCUACAAACUCCCACAAAGCCGACCCCCACCACCAGACUCAAGCCUAACCCGACGCCGUAACACCAGAUCUGUCAUCCGUAACCCAACUAUAUCUAGUUUUGUU